Molecule: non-coding RNA, 1885 nt
Organism: Heterocephalus glaber (naked mole-rat)
Lineage: Eukaryota; Metazoa; Chordata; Mammalia; Rodentia; Bathyergidae
Source: RefSeq, a predicted model, not a curated record
CUUAAAGUACUGAGGGAAAUACAGCAACCUGUGCAAUUUGUCAGCCUCCGUGUGAACUAUUAUUCAAGGCAGUCCACAGGUGUGAUAUAAGAUCAUGCUACAGUCCUUCUGGUGGUGUCACAUCUUUUCCAUGCUUUUUGGCAGCUCUUGAAUGAAAAGCCAGUAAGAGUUGAAGAUCAGUGCAGAACAGGAAACCAGGGUAGUGCUGUCCAGUCUGACUCCAGAGUCUAAGAGGUACACAAGUCUGAGAGGCCCAAACAUCUCAUCAGUAACUGGCCAAGGUGUUCUGGAGUGAAGAGAUGGAGCCAGGGGACCUUGAUGGGCAAGUUACUGCCGAACACAACCUCCUUGGAGAGUUGCCAGACCUGCCAAGGUUCUGUGCAUCCUGUCCCCAAGGCCCACGGCGCAGCUGUCCAGAGCACACUGGCCAGGGCACGCGCCCACCUGUGCCAAGGAAUCCCCAGGUGGAGAGAAUUCCUCCCAGGGAAGCCCUGCGGCUGGAGUGCACCUCAGCAUGACCUGCUGCCUUCAGGAGCCGUGCAGAUCCCGGGAAGGAGCAGGGGGCGCCCAGCACCUCGGGCUUCCUCCCUGCAGCCCACCUUCCCGACAGGCAGUAGAGCGAUGGAAGAGCUUUCUAUGAACAACAAACCUGCAUGGUGCCCAAAUGCUCAGGACAGAUUUUAAAGUCUCUUCCAGUUCUAAAAGUCUAAAAUAAAUGUUCACAACAAAAGUCUCUUUGUGAAUAGUGGUUGGAAAUGGGGCAUAGUAACAGGUUACUUGAUUCUACUUGAAGUAAAUUAAAUGUGUGCAACACUGGAAACACCCAGGACUUAUGCACUGCAUUUCUCCUCCAUUUUUUGCCCUGCUAUUCCAUAAUCUAAUUGUGUUUCCCUCCACUCAACCACGAAAGUUCUAUUUCCGCCUCACGGCCUCACCUGAGUCUCGCAUUCUGCUUGAAGCCUCACUAGUGCAAGCUCACUGAGUCGCCUUUUCACUGGUACACCAUUCUCCUGCCGUUCAGUUCUGGGUUUAAUUAUGCUCUGCCUCCCUCCCAGUGUUAGUCCUACCCUCCCAUCCUUGCGAAGACAAACAGCCCAAGGUCCCUCGCUCUGCACUUCUUCCACCUCUCACCCACUCUGAGCGCUUAGGCAGCUUCUCAAUAUCUUCUGCAUCUCAGUUCCCCUCUAACAGUGUCAACAGCACAAGCUUACCUCUUGUUGGGACAUCACCCAUAAUAAACACUUGCUGAUGGAUCAAAGCUUUCAUAAUGCUUUGGAUAGUGUUUUUAAGUACUUCAAGAUUAUUCCUACAAAAUGAGUGCCCAGUGAACACAUUUUCAGAACUAACUGCAGGACAGUCAGGUGACUUGUGCUGACCUUUACAUGUUGAUGCUUUUAAAAAAUCCUUUUUAAUAGCUACCCUUGCUUUUUCUCUGCCUCUCUCAAAUAAAAGAAGACCAAGGAGAAAUAUAUCUGGGCUUUCCUGCUUGUUUCUUUCAGAAUAAAUCUACCACACCCCCACUUUUAAUGGCUUGCAUCUGCUGAAAAUCUUUAAGUGACAAGGCAGCCAGAUGAUGAUCCCUUUGCACAAUCACAGUUCUCCCGAGCCUCACAGAAACCCCAGGAAAGGGAGGCUACUGCUCUCUGUGAUGAGCACCUGUGGAUUAGCAGCGCUGCCGGAGCAGUCUCACAAGGGGCCGAGAAGGUGAACUUUCAUCCAGGUCCACGAGUCUCAAAGGUCCUACCCUGGACCACAAGCAGCAAAGGGCCAAGGUUCCAAAGGCCAGAAUGGCCCAGUUCCUAAAGUUAGACCUAACUCCACGACAAACACAAAACAGUCACACUCCUAAAGAUACUUGAGCAUCGAAAGAAACUGGAGACCGAGU